AUGUGUUUGAUUCCGCCUCCGUGAAUUUCGAAGGGAAACCCCGCUUGCAGGGCUUUACAAUUUGCAUCCCCUCAGUCUCUCUCUCAAAAUGGCGAAUCAACACCAUUCAUCGUCGUCGCGGCCAUCGCUCCUCGAGGCAGUACCUCUCAUGGUCGUUGUCCUGAUAGCAGCUCAUGUCCUCGCUUUGGUAUACUGGAUUUACAGACUAGCCUCCGAGAAACAGCCUCAGAGGAGAAAGGCACACUAAGGAACACUUCAAUUUUGAUGCACAGAAGAUGAAGAAGGUUGGUAAAACCCUAAUUCGUAGUUUACUCUAAAAAUACAAAAUAAUGGCAACGAUUUUUUGUUAGUAUAAUUCGUUGGCAGUGCCCAUUUUUUUUAAGGAAACAUACACACUCAACAACAAAUUUUGAAUUUUCAUAAUCAGUGUAAGUAUUCAAUUGCUUGGUAUGUAAAUAGGCUUUGAUCUGGUGUCAAUCGAUGGCUCAUACGGUUUAAGCGAAGCUAACUGAUACUGAUCCGGGUGGUUCUUCGGUCUUGGUUGCUGAAAACUUGAAAUUGUCAGAGGACUUCUUUUCUUCUUGCAGUUUAAGGAAGUAGUUGCUGUAACAUUCUCCUGUUAGCCGGUGUUGCAUCUCCUUGUUUCUUCUUUCAUUGUGUAGGUUCUGUUUGGUUGCUGAGAAAAUUAGAACAAGAACAAACUACUAGCUUCUUUUGCGCAGUCGUAGAUAUACAUUUCCUACAGUAGCUCUACUCCGGGCUCGGUUUGGUUGCCUUGGAAAUGUAAGGGAAAAAAAAAAGGAAAGGGCACUCGCACGAAUGCUGUUCUUUAUUCGAAUUUCA
This is a long non-coding RNA of Juglans microcarpa x Juglans regia, 843 nucleotides long. RefSeq lists it as uncharacterized. The record is from RefSeq and is a predicted model, not a curated record. NCBI's taxonomy places the organism in Eukaryota, Viridiplantae, Streptophyta, Magnoliopsida, Fagales, Juglandaceae. The transcript has 2 exons.